Triticum aestivum (bread wheat) is the source of this 115-nucleotide non-coding RNA. The record is from Rfam. NCBI's taxonomy places the organism in Eukaryota, Viridiplantae, Streptophyta, Magnoliopsida, Poales, Poaceae.
AUAGUAUUCCCUCCGUUCGAAAUUACUUGUCGCAAAAAUGAAUGUAUCUAAAUGUAUUUUAGUUUUAGAUAUAUCCAUUUCCGAUACAAUUAAUUUCGAACGGAGGGAGUACUAC